This 99-nucleotide non-coding RNA is filed under the name Rubellimicrobium thermophilum. RNAcentral's name for it is "TPP sequence". It matches the Rfam family "TPP riboswitch aptamer (THI element)". Rfam says of the family: Vitamin B(1) in its active form thiamin pyrophosphate (TPP) is an essential coenzyme that is synthesised by coupling of pyrimidine and thiazole moieties in bacteria. The record is from RNAcentral. Lineage: Bacteria; Pseudomonadati; Pseudomonadota; Alphaproteobacteria; Rhodobacterales; Roseobacteraceae. RNAcentral also lists the same sequence under 1 other name.
AGGCACGGACAGGGGCGUCCGCGGGCGACCGCGGGCUGAGAAGCACCCUUCGAACCUGAACCAGAUCAUGCUGGCGUAGGGAGUCCGCGAUGCGUGCCC